Molecule: ribosomal RNA, 551 nt
Filed under: Glomeromycota sp.
Lineage: Eukaryota; Fungi; Glomeromycota
Also listed under: 1 other name
Description: SSU rRNA
Rfam family: Eukaryotic small subunit ribosomal RNA
Source: RNAcentral
UUGGAGGGCAAGUCUGGUGCCAGCAGCCGCGGUAAUUCCAGCUCCAAUAGCGUAUAUUAAAGUUGUUGCAGUUAAAAAGCUCGUAGUUGAAUUUCGGAAUCUGUCCAUCGGUCGGGCUUCACUGUCCGUACUGGUGUGGUGGGUUCUUACCUUCUGAAUAACCAGCAUGCCAUUCACUUGGUGCGUUGGGGAAGCAGGACUAUUACCUUGAAAAAAUUAGAGUGCUCAAAGCAGGCUAGUGCCUGAAUACAUUAGCAUGGAAUAAUAAAAUAGGACGGCAUGGUUCUAUUUUGUUGGUUUCUAGGAUCACCGUAAUGAUUAAUAGGGAUAGUUGGGGGCAUUAGUAUUCAAUUGUCAGAGGUGAAAUUCUUGGAUUUAUUGAAGACUAACUUCUGCGAAAGCAUUUGCCAAGGAUGUUUUCAUUAAUCAAGAACGAAAGUUAGGGGAUCGAAGACGAUCAGAUACCGUCGUAGUCUUAACCAUAAACUAUGCCGACUAGGGAUCGGACGAUGUUAAUUUUUUAAUGACUCGUUCGGCGCCUUACGGGAAAC